ANNNANCNAGGNGGGNGGGNNUUNACNUGACAAGUCGAACGGGAAAUACAUAGCUUGCUAAGUAUUUUUAGUGGCGCACGGGUGAGUAACACGUGAGUAACCUGCCCAUGAGUGGGGGAUAGCCCUGGGAAACCGGGAUUAAUACCGCAUAAUAUCGAAAGAUCAAAGGAUUUAUUCGCUUAUGGAGGGGCUCGCGUCCUAUUAGUUAGUUGGUGAGGUAAUGGCUCACCAAGGCGAUGACGGGUAGCCGGUCUGAGAGGAUGUCCGGCCACACUGGAACUGAGACACGGUCCAGACACCUACGGGUGGCAGCAGUCGAGAAUCAUUCACAAUGGGGGCAACCCUGAUGGUGCGACGCCGCGUGGGGGAAGAAGGUCUUCGGAUUGUAAACCCCUGUCAUGUGGGAGCAAGCUGUAAAGUUGAUAGUACCACAAGAGGAAGAGACGGCUAACUCUGUGCCAGCAGCCGCGGUAAUACAGAGGUCUCGAGCGUUGUUCGGAAUCACUGGGCGUAAAGAGUACGUAGGCUGUAGAGUAAGUCAGAAGUGAAAGGCAGGGGCUCAACCCCUGGACUGCUUUUGAUACUGCACUACUUGAGUAAUGGAGGGGGAACCGGAAUUCUCGGUGUAGCAGUGAAAUGCGUAGAUAUCGAGAGGAAGACUCGUGGCGAAGGCGGGUUCCUGGACAUUAACUGACGCUGAGGUACGAAGGCCAGGGUAGCGAAAGGGAUUAGAUACCCCUGUAGUCCUGGCAGUAAACGGUGCACGCUUGGUGUGUGAGGGUUUCGACCCCUUACGUGCCGGAGCAAACGCGUUAAGCGUGCCGCCUGGGGAGUACGGUCGCAAGAUUAAAACUCAAAGAAAUUGACGGGGACCCGCACAAGCGGUGGAGUAUGUGGCUUAAUUCGAUGCAACGCGAAAAACCUUACCUAGGCUUGACAUGUUAUGAACA
RNAcentral lists this ribosomal RNA (950 nucleotides) under uncultured bacterium. Its description in RNAcentral is "bacterial SSU rRNA". It matches the Rfam family "Bacterial small subunit ribosomal RNA", at positions 28 to 997 of the family's 1533-position model. The record is from RNAcentral.